This is a non-coding RNA of Corylus avellana, 104 nucleotides long. The record is from RefSeq and is a predicted model, not a curated record. Lineage: Eukaryota; Viridiplantae; Streptophyta; Magnoliopsida; Fagales; Betulaceae.
AGAGAUUGCAAUGAGGAUGACAAAGCUCCCUCUUCUGAGAUUUUAAGUUGAGGAAGUACGCUGGCAGAAUCGAACCUAAAACUCUUGAAGCCACUACUGAGUAA